Long non-coding RNA from Erigeron canadensis, 620 nucleotides. RefSeq lists it as uncharacterized. The record is from RefSeq and is a predicted model, not a curated record. Lineage: Eukaryota; Viridiplantae; Streptophyta; Magnoliopsida; Asterales; Asteraceae. The transcript is spliced from 2 exons.
UCUGUUUUGUUUUGUAAGAACUCUAGUUUUAAUCCAUCAGUCUGUUUGUUCUUUAAUCCGUUGCAUUGAUAAGUGUCUAUUUAUCUAUGUUUACUUAUAUUUUUCUACAUAGUCACUCCAUAUAAAGCAUGGAAACAAGUUUAAAAAAGUUGUAGAAAGCAGCUGCUUAAGAAUUUUACAUCUUUCGAUGAAGGUUGAGUUAACCAGAAACACAUUUUUGGUGGAAAUUUUUUUACUUUCUAUAUAGUUCCUGUCAAAUAUGAUGAUACAAAUAUAAUUAUGCUUUGGGUGACCUGACCAUUCACAAGGAAUAGGUUAUGAUUCUUCAAGUAUACAUGCUUAGGUUUCAAUUUACUUGGAAUGUGAUCUUAGGUUGUCUUCUUCAUGCUCAUCGAAGUAAAGUGAUCCCGAGGCGACCAGAAGUUUAUUUUAGUUUGCUUUGUGAAGAAUUGCAGUUGAAGCAAAACAAGUGUGAUCAUAGACUCAUAGCUAGGAUCUUUUAAAAUCCAAUCAUUGUAUUGAGAAUAUUUUGUUUUGUUGGUUUUAGAUUAUCUAUGUACCGCUCUUGUAUGUUCACUUUAUUUGAAUGGAUGAUUUCAUGUGCUUUUGCCUUAUUUGAA